UACGGAGGGUGCGAGCGUUGUUCGGAAUCAUUGGGCGUAAAGCGCGCGCAGGCGGCUUUGCAAGUCUUGCGGUCAAAUGCCGGGGCUCAACCCCGAGCGCGCCCGAGAUACUGCGGAGCUGGAGACAGGCAGAGGCAAGUGGAAUUCCGGGUGUAGCGGUGGAAUGCGUAGAGAUCCGGAAGAACACCGGAGGCGAAGGCGGCUUGCUGGGCCUGGUCUGACGCUGAGGCGCGAAAGCGUGGGGAGCGAACAGG
RNAcentral lists this unclassified non-coding RNA (254 nucleotides) under uncultured Gemmatimonadota bacterium. RNAcentral's name for it is "uncultured Gemmatimonadetes bacterium contains 16S-23S intergenic spacer region". It matches the Rfam family "Bacterial small subunit ribosomal RNA", at positions 524 to 776 of the family's 1533-position model. Lineage: Bacteria; Pseudomonadati; Gemmatimonadota. The record is from RNAcentral.